CACGCCUAACACAUGCAAGUCGAGCGGGGGUAGCAAUACUUAGCGGCAGACGGGUGCGUAACAUGUGGGAAUCUGCCUUUUUGGUUCGGAACAACACGGGGAAACCUGUGCUAAUACCGGAUAAGUCCUUACGGAGAAAGUUUUAAAUUGCCAAAAGAUGAGCCCCGCAUUUUGAUUAGCUAGUUGGUGAGGUAAAAGCUCACCAAGGCGAUAAUCAAUAGCUGAUUUGAGAGGAUGAUCAGCCACACUGGGACUGGGAUACGGCCCAGACUCC
This 274-nucleotide ribosomal RNA is filed under the name uncultured bacterium. Its description in RNAcentral is "partial 16S ribosomal RNA". It matches the Rfam family "Bacterial small subunit ribosomal RNA", at positions 43 to 339 of the family's 1533-position model. The record is from RNAcentral.